UGUUUCAACAUGAAGGUUUGUAAUAAAAAUUUGUUUCUAUCAGCAUUGCUUUGCAUUGCUGUUGCAGGAGUUUUGGGUCAAGCUCCUAGUAAUCCUCCUACGUCUACGCCGGCGCCACCCACACCACCGGCUUCUACUCCUCCUCCGACGACUCAAGCACCGCCUACACCAACCGCCACUCCGCCACCGGUUUCUACUCCUCCUCCCACUUCGUCACCGCCCCCAGUGACAGCUUCUCCACCCCCAGUUUCAACUCCUCCACCCAGUUCUCCUCCUCCUGCAACUCCACCACCUGCUUCUCCUCCUCCUGCAACUCCACCUCCAGCUUCUCCACCUCCCGCCACUCCUCCACCAGCUUCUCCACCUCCCGCCACUCCACCACCUGCAACCCCACCGCCAGCAACUCCUCCUGCUGCUACCCCACCACCAGCUCCAUUGGCUUCUCCUCCAGCCACGGUCCCAGCUAUCUCUCCAGUACAAACACCAUUGACAUCGCCACCAGCUCCGCCGACCGAGGCCCCAGCACCUACCCUCGGGGCUGCUACGCCAGGUCCAGCUGGAACUGACACGGUACAUUUUCUCUUAUUCCACCAUUUUAUAUCCUUCUUCUCCACCUACGAUCAAGCCUUUACAGCAAGACUUAAAAUAUAAUUUUAUUAAUGGUUUUAUAAUAUUAAAUUAUAAUUUUAUCAUUCUUACACAUUAAUAUAUAAUGUGAUAAAAUUUUUUACUUUGGGUACCGUGCCAACUUCCUAACGUCGCCCUUAUCUUACAUAAACAACGAUCUGAGCUUGUCUCGAUAUUAGCUAACCCUUUAGCCAUUAGAGAUGGCAAUUGGUUCCGUCCCGACAUACCUUCAACAUAAUCUGAUUUAAAAUUAAAUACGGAUAUAUCUGUUUUUUAACACAAUAUUUAAAAUUAUUUAUAAUUUCUUCUCAACUUAUAAUUAGAAGUACAAUAUUUCAGCAUAUUCAAAUUCACAUCUUCUUAUAUUGAUAACAGUAUCUCUGUUAAUCGAAUUUGACAAUAAUAUUUAUGUGAAUCGAUUUAAGGCUUAAGAUAUUAAAUUUAAUUAAGACUCAACAUUAACGACAGUAAGAUUCAAC
Molecule: long non-coding RNA, 1106 nt
Filed under: Gossypium raimondii (Peruvian cotton)
Lineage: Eukaryota; Viridiplantae; Streptophyta; Magnoliopsida; Malvales; Malvaceae
Description: long non-coding RNA (GRAI_LNC004234)
Source: RNAcentral